GAUCAUGGCUCAGGACGAACGCUGGCGGCGCGCCUAACACAUGCAAGUCGAACGAGAGAGAAGGAGCUUGCUUCUUCGAUCGAGUGGCGAACGGGUGAGUAACGCGUGAGGAACCUGCCUCAAAGAGGGGGACAACAGUUGGAAACGACUGCUAAUACCGCAUAAGCCCACGGGUCGGCAUCGGCCUGAGGGAAAAGGAGCAAUCCGCUUUGAGAUGGCCUCGCGUCCGAUUAGCUGG
RNAcentral lists this ribosomal RNA (238 nucleotides) under uncultured bacterium. Its description in RNAcentral is "partial 16S ribosomal RNA". It matches the Rfam family "Bacterial small subunit ribosomal RNA", at positions 15 to 248 of the family's 1533-position model. The record is from RNAcentral.